GAUGAACGCUGACAGAAUGCUUAACACAUGCAAGUCGAUGGGGAAGUGGUGCUUGCACCAUGGUAACCAUGACGGACGGGUGAGUAACGCGUAAGGAACUUACCUGCGGGACCGGGAUAACAGCAGGAAACUGCUGACAAGACCGGAUAAGGUCAUUAAGCUGCAUAGCUUAGUGAUGAAAGGAGACGCCUGCGGAGAGCCUUGCGUCCUAUUAGCUAGUUGGAGGGGUAACGGCCCACCAAGGCGAAGAUAGGUAGCCGGCCUGAGAGGGUGGACGGCCACAAGGGGACUGAGAUACGGCCCUUACGCCUACGGGAGGCAGCAGUGGGGAAUAUUGGACAAUGGGGGCAACCCUGAUCCAGCAAUUCUGUGUGCACGAAGACGGUUUUCGGAGUGUAAAGUGCUUUCAGCAGGGAAGAAGGAAGUGACGGUACCUGCAGAAGAAGCGACGGCUAAAUACGUG
This 463-nucleotide ribosomal RNA is filed under the name uncultured bacterium. Its description in RNAcentral is "partial 16S ribosomal RNA". It matches the Rfam family "Bacterial small subunit ribosomal RNA", at positions 28 to 507 of the family's 1533-position model. The record is from RNAcentral.